RNAcentral lists this ribosomal RNA (449 nucleotides) under uncultured bacterium. RNAcentral's name for it is "partial 16S ribosomal RNA". It matches the Rfam family "Bacterial small subunit ribosomal RNA", at positions 29 to 523 of the family's 1533-position model. The record is from RNAcentral.
AGCGAACGCUGGCGGCAGGCUUAACACAUGCAAGUCGAACGCCAUCUUCGGAUGGAGUGGCAGACGGGUGAGUAACGCGUGGGAACGUACCUUUUGGUUCGGAAUAUUCUCGGGAAACUGAGAGCAAUACCGAAUAAGCCCUUAGGGGGAAAGAUUUAUUGCCAAAAGAUCGGCCCGCGUUAGAUCAGGUAGUUGGUAGGGUAAUGGCCUACCAAGCCUACGAUCUAUAGCUGGUCUGAGAGGAUGAUCAGCCACAUUGGGACUGAGACACGGCCCAAACUCCUACGGGAGGCAGCAGUGGGGAAUAUUGGACAAUGGGCGCAAGCCUGAUCCAGCCGUGCCGCGUGAAUGAUGAAGGCCUUAGGGUUGUAAAAUUCUUUCAACGGGGACGAUAAUGACGGUACCCGUAGAAGAAGCCCCGGCUAACUUCGUGCCAGCCGCCGCGGUAA